RNAcentral lists this ribosomal RNA (433 nucleotides) under uncultured bacterium. RNAcentral's name for it is "partial 16S ribosomal RNA". It matches the Rfam family "Bacterial small subunit ribosomal RNA", at positions 29 to 507 of the family's 1533-position model. The record is from RNAcentral.
AACGAACGCUGGCGGCAUGCCUAACACAUGCAAGUCGAACGAGACCUUCGGGUCUAGUGGCGCACGGGUGCGUAACGCGUGGGAACCUGCCCUUAGGUUCGGAAUAACUCCCCGAAAGGGGUGCUAAUACCGUAUAAUGUCUUCGGACCAAAGAUUUAUCGCCUUUGGAUGGGCCCGCGUUGGAUUAGCUAGUUGGUAGGGUAAAAGCCUACCAAGGCGACGAUCCAUAGCUGGUCUGAGAGGAUGAUCAGCCACACUGGGACUGAGACACGGCCCAGACUCCUACGGGAGGGAGCAGUGGGGAAUAUUGGACAAUGGGCGAAAGCCUGAUCCAGCAAUGCCGCGUGAGUGAUGAAGGCCUUAGGGUUGUAAAGCUCUUUUACCCGGGAUGAUAAUGACAGUACCGGGAGAAUAAGCUCCGGCUAACUCCGUG